GAUGAACGCUGGCGGCGUGCCUAAUACAUGCAAGUCGAGCGAACGGACGAGAAGCUUGCUUCUCUGAUGUUAGCGGCGGACGGGCGAGUAACACGUGGAUAACCUACCUAUAAGACUGGGAUAACUUCGGGAAACCGGAGCUAAUACCGGAUAAUAUUUUGAACCGCAUGGGUCAAAAGUGAAAGACGGCGUUGCUGUCACUUAUAGAUGGAUCCGAGCUGCAUUAGCUAGUUGGUAAGGUAACGGCUUAUCAAGGCAACGAUGCAUAGCCGACCUGAGAGGGUGAUCGGCCACACUGGAACUGGGACACGGUCCAGACUCCUACGGGAGGCAGCAGUAGGGAAUCUUCCGCAAUGGGCGGAAGCCUGACGGAGCAGCGCCGCGUGAGUGAUGAAGGUCUUCGGAUCGUAAAACUCUGUUAUUAGGGAAGAACAUAUGUGUAAGUAACUGUGCACAUCUUGACGGUACCUAAUCAGAAAGCCACGGCUAACUACGUG
RNAcentral lists this ribosomal RNA (497 nucleotides) under uncultured bacterium. Its description in RNAcentral is "partial 16S ribosomal RNA". It matches the Rfam family "Bacterial small subunit ribosomal RNA", at positions 28 to 507 of the family's 1533-position model. The record is from RNAcentral.